RNAcentral lists this ribosomal RNA (425 nucleotides) under uncultured bacterium. RNAcentral's name for it is "bacterial SSU rRNA". It matches the Rfam family "Bacterial small subunit ribosomal RNA", at positions 356 to 773 of the family's 1533-position model. The record is from RNAcentral.
GGGGAAUCUUGCGCAAUGGGCGAAAGCCUGACGCAGCGACGCCGCGUGGGGGAAGAAGGCUUUCGGGUUGUAAACCCCUUUCAGGAGGGACGAAGCCACUCGGGUGAAUAGCCCAGAGGGUGACGGUACCUCCAGAAGAAGCCCCGGCUAACUACGUCCCAGCCGCCGCGGUAAUGCGGGGGGAGCAAGCGUUGUUCGGAUUUACUGGGCGUAAAGGGCGCGUAGGCGGCCACCGCAAGUCGACUGUGAAAUCUCCGGGCUUAACCCGGAAAGGUCAGCCGAUACUGCGGGGCUAGAGUGCAGAAGGGGCAACUGGAAUUCUCGGUGUAGCGGUGAAAUGCGUAGAUAUCGAGAGGAACACCUGCGGCGAAGGCGGGUUGCUGGGCUGACACUGACGCUGAUGCGCGAAAGCUAGGGGAGCGAAC